CCGGCUCAAGACACAGGACAAUAUACAAAAAUAUUCAAAGCAUGAAACAUGAUAAAACUAACAUAGAUACAACAUCCACAAAAGUAAUGUACGAUACCAAACAAAAGACACCAAAACCCUUCCAACUACGGACUACGAUUCAUCCACCCACCUUAUCCCUCUAUCCUAGUGUUUUUCCUCCAAACCUUCCUAUCCAGGGUCAUGUCCUCAGUGAGACGUAACUGCUCCAUGUCACGUCUAAUCACUUCUCUCUAGUAUUUCUUCGGUCUACCCCUACCCCGCUUGAAACCAUCUAACAC
This 299-nucleotide long non-coding RNA is filed under the name Capsicum annuum. RNAcentral describes it as "long non-coding RNA (CANN_LNC016320)". Lineage: Eukaryota; Viridiplantae; Streptophyta; Magnoliopsida; Solanales; Solanaceae. The record is from RNAcentral.